GUCCCAGGAGGCCAGGCGGGACACCACAUGACAUUUAGUUGGCAUGUCUCCUUGGGCUCUUCUUGGCUGUGACAGUUUCUCAGACUUCCCU
Molecule: non-coding RNA, 91 nt
Organism: Ceratotherium simum simum (southern white rhinoceros)
Lineage: Eukaryota; Metazoa; Chordata; Mammalia; Perissodactyla; Rhinocerotidae
Source: RefSeq, a predicted model, not a curated record